UACGAAGGGGGCUAGCGUUGUUCGGAUUUACUGGGCGUAAAGCGCACGUAGGCGGAUCGUUAAGUCGGGGGUGAAAUCCUGGAGCUCAACUCCAGAACUGCCUUCGAUACUGAGAGUCUUGAGUCCGGGAGAGGUGAGUGGAACUGCGAGUGUAGAGGUGAAAUUCGUAGAUAUUCGCAAGAACACCAGUGGCGAAGGCGGCUCACUGGCCCGGUACUGACGCUGAGGCACGAAAGCGUGGGGAGCAAACAGG
RNAcentral lists this ribosomal RNA (253 nucleotides) under uncultured bacterium. RNAcentral's name for it is "partial 16S ribosomal RNA". It matches the Rfam family "Bacterial small subunit ribosomal RNA", at positions 524 to 776 of the family's 1533-position model. The record is from RNAcentral.